This 302-nucleotide ribosomal RNA is filed under the name uncultured bacterium. Its description in RNAcentral is "partial 16S ribosomal RNA". It matches the Rfam family "Bacterial small subunit ribosomal RNA", at positions 508 to 807 of the family's 1533-position model. The record is from RNAcentral.
GCAGCCGCCGCGGGAAUACGAGGGGGGCAAGCGUUGUUCGGAAUUAUUGGGCGUAAAGGGUGCGUAGGCGGUUUGGCAAGUUUGGUGUGAAAUCUUCGGGCUCAACUCGAAGUCUGCAUCGAAAACUGCCGGGCUUGAGUAUGGGAGAGGUGAGUGGAAUUUCCGGUGUAGCGGUGAAAUGCGUAGAUAUCGGAAGGAACACCUGUGGCGAAAGCGGCUCACUGGACCAUAACUGACGCUGAUGCACGAAAGCUAGGGGAGCAAACAGGAUUAGAUACCCCCGUAGUCCCUGUCUCUUAUAC